Molecule: ribosomal RNA, 322 nt
Filed under: uncultured eukaryote
Lineage: Eukaryota
Description: partial 18S ribosomal RNA
Rfam family: Eukaryotic small subunit ribosomal RNA
Source: RNAcentral
CCCUUAGAUGUUCUGGGCCGCACGCGUGCUACACUGAGUGGAUCAGCGGGUCAGGUUGCGCGAAAGCGUUUCCUAAUCUUUAAAUCCGCUCGUGAUGGGGAUUGACGGUUGCAAUUUUCUGUCAUGAACGAGGAAUACCUUGUAAGCGCGGGUCAUCAUCCCGCGCUGAAUACGUCCCGGCCCUUUGUACACACCGCCCGUCGCUCCUACCGAUUGAGUGGUCCGGUGAGGCUUUGGGAUCUGAGCGGAAAGAGCGUUUCGCUGUUUCUGCUCGGAAAACUCAGUCGAACCUUAUCAUUUAGAGGAAGGAGAAGUCGUAACA